Molecule: ribosomal RNA, 194 nt
Filed under: uncultured bacterium
Lineage: Bacteria
Description: partial 16S ribosomal RNA
Rfam family: Bacterial small subunit ribosomal RNA
Source: RNAcentral
GCAACUCGCCUGCAUGAAGCUGGAAUUGCUAGUAAUCGCGGAUCAGCAAGCCGCGGUGAAUACGUUCCCGGGUCUUGUACACACCGCCCGUCACACCAUGGGAGCCGGAAAUGCCCGAAGUCUGUGACUCAACCGAGAGGGGAGAGCAGCCGAAGGUGGAGCUGGUAACUGGGGUGAAGUCGUAACAAGGUAGC